This 71-nucleotide transfer RNA is filed under the name Planctomycetota bacterium. RNAcentral describes it as "Planctomycetes bacterium tRNA-Gln". It matches the Rfam family "tRNA". From Rfam's summary of the family: Transfer RNA (tRNA) molecules are approximately 80 nucleotides in length. Their secondary structure includes four short double-helical elements and three loops (D, anti-codon, and T loops). Lineage: Bacteria; Pseudomonadati; Planctomycetota. The record is from RNAcentral.
UACCCCGUGGUGUAGCGGCAGCACAGGUGGUUUUGGUCCAUCUAGCCCUGGUUCGAAUCCAGGCGGGGUAG